This is a long non-coding RNA of Centropristis striata (black sea bass), 270 nucleotides long. RefSeq lists it as uncharacterized. Lineage: Eukaryota; Metazoa; Chordata; Actinopteri; Perciformes; Serranidae. The transcript has 3 exons. The record is from RefSeq and is a predicted model, not a curated record.
CUUCCAAGACACAAGAACCAGAACUAGAAGCUGAGCCUGAGACCUGAACCAGAACCAGAACUAGAACCUGCCAGUCAUGUUUGCUUCACCUCGUCUUUUAAAGCGUCUCCGGAUGAAGUAGACGAUGACGAUGAUGAAGAGGAUGAGCACGAGGACGGAGAUGAUGAUUCCAAGCACCAAAUAAUGAGGAAGAUGAUCCUCAUGAUCUGCCAGAGAGACAAAAUUUGAGAUGAUUCAUCAUUCUCUGGUCAGGACGCCAUUAAAGAUUUU